This 1507-nucleotide ribosomal RNA is filed under the name Salmonella enterica subsp. enterica. RNAcentral's name for it is "16S ribosomal RNA". It matches the Rfam family "Bacterial small subunit ribosomal RNA". Lineage: Bacteria; Pseudomonadati; Pseudomonadota; Gammaproteobacteria; Enterobacterales; Enterobacteriaceae. The record is from RNAcentral.
AAAUUGAAGAGUUUGAUCAUGGCUCAGAUUGAACGCUGGCGGCAGGCCCACAUGCAAGUCGAACGUGGUAACAGGAAGCAGCUUGCUGCUUUGGCUGACGAGUGGCGGACGGGUGAGUAAUGUCUGGGAAACUGCCUGAUGGAGGGGAUAACUACUGGAAACGGUGGCUAAUACUUCUACUAACGUCGCAAGACCAAAGAGGGGACCCGGGCCUCUGCCAUCAGAUGCCCAGAUGGGAUUAGUUUGUUGGUGAGGUAACGGCUCAAUUGCUAAGACGAUCCCUAGCUGGUCUGGAGAGGAUGACCAGCCACACUGAACUGGCAUGGUCCAGACUCCUACGGAAAGCAGUGCGGGGAAUAUUGCACACGGGCGCAAGCCUGAUGCAGCCAUGCUGCGUGUAUGACAAGGCCUUCGGGUUGUAAAGUACUUUCAGCGGGGAGGAAGGUGUUGUGGUUAAUAACCGCAGCAAUUGACGUUACCCGCAGAAGAAGCACCGGCUAACCUGCGCCAGCAGCCGGUAAUACGGAGGGUGCAAGCGGCAUCGGAAUUACUGGCAAGCGCACGCAGGCGGUCUGUCAAGUCGGAUGUGAAAUCCCCGGGCUCAACCUCGGGAACUGCAUUCGAAACUGGCAGGCUUGAGUCUGUAGAGGGGGUAGACCUGUGCGUAGCGGCAAAACGCGCGUAGAGAUCUGGAGGAAUACCGGUGGCGAAGGCGGCCCCCGGACAAAGACUGACGCUCAGGUGCGAAAGCGUGGGGAGCAAACAGGACAGAUACCCCGGUAUCCACGCCGUAAACGAUGCCCUACUUGAGUGUUGUGCCCUUGAGGCGUGGCUUCCGAGCAACGCGCGUUAUGGCAGACCGCCUCGGGAGUACGGCCGCAAGGUUAAAACUCAAAUGAAUUGACGGGGCCCGCACAGCGGUGGCUACGCGGUUUAAUUCGAUGCAACGCGAAGAACUCCACCCGUCUUGGACAUCCACGGAAGAAUUCAGAGGAUUUGUGCCUUCGGGAACCGUGAGAUUGGUGGUGCUGCAUGGCUGUCAACAGCUUCCGUGUUGUGAAAUGUUGGGUUAAGUCCCGCAACGAGGCGCAACCCUUAUCCUUUACGCCAGCGGUCCGCCGUCAAACUCAAAGGAGACCGCCAGUGAUAAACUGAGAAGGUGAUGACGUCGUCAUCAUGGCCCCUACGACCGUGGCUGGCCAACACGUGCCAGUCGGCGCAUGGCUGCGCAGGUAUGACCCGCGAGAUAAAGUGACCUCAUAAAGUGCGUCAGUCCGAUUGAGUCUGCAACUCGACCCAUGAAGUCGGAAUCGCUAAUCGUGAUCAGAAUGCCACGGUGAAUACGUUCCCGGCCUUGGUACACACCGCCCGUCACACCAUGGGAGCGGGUUUGCAAAGAAGUAGGUAGCUUAACCUUCGGGAGUGGCGCUACCACUUUGUGAUUCAUGACUGGGGUGAAGUCAAAAAUAAGGUAAAUCGGGGAACCUGCGGUUGGAUCACCUCCUUA